Molecule: ribosomal RNA, 439 nt
Filed under: uncultured bacterium
Lineage: Bacteria
Description: partial 16S ribosomal RNA
Rfam family: Bacterial small subunit ribosomal RNA
Source: RNAcentral
CUACGGGGCGCUCCAGUGAGGAAUAUUACACAAUGGGGGGAACCCUGAUGCAGCAACGCCGCGUGGAGGAUGACGCAUUUCGGUGUGUAAACUCCUUUUAUAUGUCAAGAAAAUGACGGUAGCAUAUGAAUAAGCACCGGCUAACUCCGUGCCAGCAGCCGCGGUAAUACGGAGGGUGCAAGCGUUACUCGGAAUCACUGGGCGUAAAGGACGCGUAGGCGGGUUGGAAAGUCAGGUGUGAAAUCCUACAGCUUAACUGUAGAACUGCACUUGAAACUUCUAAUCUAGAGUAUGGGAGGGGGAGAUGGAAUUAGUGGUGUAGCGGUAAAAUCCGUAGAUAUCACUAGGAAUACCUAAAGCGAAGGCGAUCUCCUGGAACAUUACUGACGCUAAGGCGUGAAAGCGUGGGGAGCAAACAGGAUUAGAUACCCCCGUAGUC